AAUGACGCUGGCGGCGUGAUUAACACAUGCAAGUCGAACGGAAUCCAAGGAGCUUGCUCUGGAAGAUUUAGUGGCGAACGGGUGAGUAUCACGUGAGCAACCUGCCCCGAAGACUGGGAUAACACCGGGAAACCGGUGCUAAUACCGGAUGUCUUUCAAUGGUCGCAUGAUCGAUGAAAGAAAUGUUUUUUCGCUUUGGGAGGGGCUCGCGGUCCAUCAGCUUGUUGGAGGGGUAACGGCCCACCAAGGCUAMGACGGAUAGCUGGUCUGAGAGGACGAUCAGCCACACUGGAACUGAGACACGGUCCAGACUCCUACGGGAGGCAGCAGUGGGGAAUCUUGCGCAAUGGACGAAAGUCUGACGCAGCAACGCCGCGUGAGGGACGAAGGCUUUCUGAGUUGUAAACCUCUUUCGACAGGAACGAUUGUGACGGUACCUGUAGAAGAAGCACCGGCCAACUAUGUGCCAGCAGCCGCGGUGAUACAUAGGGUGCGAGCGUUAUUCGGAUUUAUUGGGCGUAAAGAGCUCGUAGGCGGUUCGACAAGUCGGGUGUUAAACCCCCAGGCUCAACCUGGGGCCGCCACCCGAAACUGUCGUGACUAGAGUUUGGUAGGGGAUCACGGAAUUCCUGGUGUAGCGGUGGAAUGCGCAGAUAUCAGGAGGAACACCAGUAGCGAAGGCGGUGAUCUGGGCCAAUACUGACGCUGAGGAGCGAAAGCGU
This 722-nucleotide ribosomal RNA is filed under the name uncultured bacterium. RNAcentral's name for it is "bacterial SSU rRNA". It matches the Rfam family "Bacterial small subunit ribosomal RNA", at positions 28 to 762 of the family's 1533-position model. The record is from RNAcentral.